Molecule: ribosomal RNA, 514 nt
Filed under: uncultured bacterium
Lineage: Bacteria
Description: partial 16S ribosomal RNA
Rfam family: Bacterial small subunit ribosomal RNA
Source: RNAcentral
UGGGGAAUUUUGGACAAUGGGCGCAAGCCUGAUCCAGCCAUGCCGCGUGCGGGAAGAAGGCCUUCGGGUUGUAGACCGCUUUUGUCAGGGAAGAAAUCUUCUGAGUUAAUACCUCGGGAGGAUGACGGUACCUGAAGAAUAAGCACCGGCUAACUACGUGCCAGCAGCCGCGGUAAUACGUAGGGUGCAAGCGUUAAUCGGAAUUACUGGGCGUAAAGCGUGCGCAGGCGGUUUUGUAAGACAAAGGUGAAAUCCCCGGGCUCAACCUGGGAACUGCCUUUGUGACUGCAAGGCUUGAGUGCGGCAGAGGGGGGAUGGAAUUCCGCGUGUAGCAGUGAAAUGCGUAGAUAUGCGGAGGAACACCGAUGGCGAAGGCAAUCCCCUGGGCCUGCACUGACGCUCAUGCACGAAAGCGUGGGGAGCAAACAGGAUUAGAUACCCUGGUAGUCCACGCCCUAAACGAUGUCAACUGGUUGUUGGGAAGGUUCCUUCUCAGUAACGUAGCUAACGCGUG